This 253-nucleotide ribosomal RNA is filed under the name uncultured bacterium. RNAcentral describes it as "partial 16S ribosomal RNA". It matches the Rfam family "Bacterial small subunit ribosomal RNA", at positions 524 to 776 of the family's 1533-position model. The record is from RNAcentral.
UACAGAGGGGGCAAGCGUUAUUCGGAAUUAUUGGGCGUAAAGGGCGCGUAGGCGGCCUGCUAAGUCGAACGUGAAAUCCCCGGGCUCAACCCGGGAACUGCGUCCGAUACUGGUUGGCUUGAAUCCGGGAGAGGGAUGCGGAAUUCCAGGUGUAGCGGUGAAAUGCGUAGAUAUCUGGAGGAACACCGGUGGCGAAGGCGGCAUCCUGGACCGGCAUUGACGCUGAGGCGCGAAAGCCAGGGGAGCAAACGGG